Molecule: long non-coding RNA, 809 nt
Organism: Sitophilus oryzae (rice weevil)
Lineage: Eukaryota; Metazoa; Arthropoda; Insecta; Coleoptera; Curculionidae
Exons: 4
Source: RefSeq, a predicted model, not a curated record
AAAACAUUCACCUGGGGGUAAUGAUGGAGAGGUAUUUAGAAAUAGAAAAGCAUUAUUUUCUCCGACAUUUAAAUUACUGGAAAUGCUAGUCAUAAAACUAUAGACAAUAGACAUGAUUGCUUGUUGGCAUGGGUCUCUGCAUGAAGCCACCAUUUUUUGGAUAUUAAGGACGUAUUAAGGACCCGCUUGGAGACUGGUGACUUUUCAAAUUAAAUCCUGCUUGGUGAUAGUGCAUAUGCAUUGAGGGGAUAUAUGCAGAAAGAGAGCCGAAGAAAUGUUUCAGAAUUAUCGGAAUAUGGAAACGCCACUUUCCAAUAUGUUUUAUGGUAUAAGACCAAAAUUGCAAACCACAAUGUCAGUUAUUGUUGCACAACAAUUUUGUUGUUUCAAUGUGCUACACAAUACAGCCAGAAUGAUACCUGAACAAGAGCUGCCGCCGUUAGAUGAAAUAAAUAUGGACCAAAUUAAUAAGAAGAGAAAUAGUAAAUUAUUUUGAAAGAUUAGGGCAAUAUUUUUUUAACUUAUUCUAAACAUGUUUUUAUGUUGCUAUUGUUGCUGUUGUUUUUUUUGUUUUUGAGUAUUAAUUUCUAUAAAAUAUCAUUAUUAAAUGUCUUUUAUUCAGAAAUAACAUACAUUACAGUUUUUACAUUAGAAUAUAAACAAUAAUUAAAAUUAUUAAAUAAGUUCUCUUUAAGAACUUCACUGUUCUUUUUUUAUUUCAAUGUCUACAAGCAACCCUUUUUUUCUUUAGCUUAUGUUCUUCUCUGUUUUGAAUACUACUACUUUGAAUUUUGCCCCAUCUCCAUAUU